AGAAAUUUAGGUUAACACCCACCAAACCAAGGGCCUUCAAAGCCCUAAACAGAGAACCAAUAAACCUCUAAUUUCUG
RNAcentral lists this transfer RNA (77 nucleotides) under Blaesodactylus antongilensis. RNAcentral describes it as "tRNA-Trp". The record is from RNAcentral. Lineage: Eukaryota; Metazoa; Chordata; Lepidosauria; Squamata; Gekkonidae.